AUCUACGGCCAUACCACCCAGAACCCACCUGAUCUCCGAAGCUAAGCAGGGUUGGGCCUGGUUAGUACGUGGAUGGGAGUCUGCCUGGGAAUAUGGGGUGCUGUAGGCU
Molecule: ribosomal RNA, 109 nt
Organism: Bison bison bison
Lineage: Eukaryota; Metazoa; Chordata; Mammalia; Artiodactyla; Bovidae
Source: Ensembl